RNAcentral lists this long non-coding RNA (222 nucleotides) under Setaria viridis. RNAcentral describes it as "long non-coding RNA (SVIR_LNC002843)". Lineage: Eukaryota; Viridiplantae; Streptophyta; Magnoliopsida; Poales; Poaceae. The record is from RNAcentral.
CAGCCACUGCUUUCAGUGCUGCCCAAGAGCUUUCUUGUGAUCCACAAGAAGCACCGCCACCACCGGACAUUCUCGCCGCCGUCCCAAGCCCUUAGUUCUUCCGCCCAAGCCUCCUCUGUAAGACAAAGGUAGGCUGCCGACCCUUGUUCGCUUCGCCCGACCCCUCUUAUCCGCCCAACCCUCAUUCGCUUCGCCCGACCCCUCUUAUCCGCCCGACCCCGG